ACACGUAGGGGGCGAGCGUUGUUCGGAAUCAUUGGGCGUAAAGGGCGUGCAGGCGGUCCUGCAAGUCCGGCGUGAAAGACCCCGGCCCAACCGGGGGGACGCGCUGGAAACUGCGGGGCUUGAGUACAGGAGGGGAUGCCGGAAUUCCAGGAGUAGGGGGGAAAUCUGUAGAUAUCUGGAAGAACACCAAUGGCGAAGGCAGGCAUCUGGCCAUGUACUGACGCUGAGACGCGAAGGUGCGGGGAGCAAACAGGUUUAGAUACCCUGGUAGUCCGCACAGUAAACGAUGUGCACCAGGUGGCGGGGGGUCGACCCCCGGUACCGUAGCUAACGCAUUAAGUGCACCGCCUGGGGAGUAUGCUCGCAAGGGUGAAACUCAAAUGAAUUGGCGGGG
Molecule: ribosomal RNA, 394 nt
Filed under: uncultured bacterium
Lineage: Bacteria
Description: partial 16S ribosomal RNA
Rfam family: Bacterial small subunit ribosomal RNA
Source: RNAcentral